Non-coding RNA from Cyanistes caeruleus (blue tit), 1058 nucleotides. The record is from RefSeq and is a predicted model, not a curated record. NCBI's taxonomy places the organism in Eukaryota, Metazoa, Chordata, Aves, Passeriformes, Paridae.
GCCACCUCACAGUAAAAAAUUAUGUGAUUAAGUAAAGAUAUGAGACCUUGGACAGUUAUUAAGCUAACUAAUUCUAUAAAAUAUAGUGUUGAAAUUAAUACAGUGUGAAUAGAGCAACAAAAUCUCUUUGAGUUGUUUCAGAGAUAAACCUCAACGUUACCAAUCCUGUACAGAUUCUUGGUGUACUUAAUUAACAGCUUAAAACACUUUCCAAAUAAUUGGGUGAACUACGUAGUGUGUUUUAUUUUCCCAAAUGUGCAACUUUCCCCUCUGAUCUGUGCAAAAGAUUACGUGAACCCAGUAACAGAUAAAGUACCUUACAUGAUCUUCUGGUGUGAGAUGACAGUGAAACACAGAAAUACUUUCUGCUUGUUUUGCCAUAGAAUGCACUUGAAGCACCCAGCUGCUUAGUGAAUGACAGACUUAAAGGUGUCUACUGAAGAGAAAUUAUCUGACUGUGGAUGUCUAUGUACGUUGCUAAUUUUGAGAUUAAGCUGCUGGGUUGUGAUGAUGAACAGUUGUUGGCUACAGUUGUAUGUGCUUAGCUUGUGAUUUUUGCAGGAAAAUAUGGACAGCAUGAAAUGUACCUAUUGUUACUUAUUUUUUAAAAGGUGAUGCCUAAUUAGCAGACUUAAUUAUUUUGUGUCUAUUGAAAGCAGCAAUAAGGCUUCCAAUGUAUUGCCUUUGGGGUUUUUUCAGUACUCAUUACAAUGUUUCCUGGCAUUCAUCAACACUUCUAAAUUACUGGGAAGAGUGUAAUUAAUCAUUUGCUUCCUUAUGCUUCCUACUAGACAAACACAGAUCAUUGCAGGCAAGUUGAAGUAAGCCAUUUCAGAUUUUCAAAACAUGCUGCAGCUAGUGGAAUCUUGGAGUAAGCACCGCUUCAAACAUUCUAUCAAUGUUUAGCACAAAAGGCUCCUUUUCUAGAAAACCGUUCUUCAAAAGAGCGGAGUGCAGCAGCAUGCUUCAGCCUCCAGGAUUCACACCACUACCUUUAGGCAGUACGACUACUUUUGAGUUAUUGCUUAGAGGAAUGAUAAUAAUAAAAACUGAAUAGC